GGGGAUUUAGCUCAGUGGUAGAGCGCUUGCCUAGCAAACGCAAGGCCCUGGGUUCGAUUCCCAGUUCCUCCC
This 72-nucleotide transfer RNA is filed under the name Rattus norvegicus (Norway rat). It matches the Rfam family "tRNA". From Rfam's summary of the family: Transfer RNA (tRNA) molecules are approximately 80 nucleotides in length. Lineage: Eukaryota; Metazoa; Chordata; Mammalia; Rodentia; Muridae. The record is from Rfam by way of RNAcentral.